Molecule: long non-coding RNA, 3825 nt
Organism: Equus quagga
Lineage: Eukaryota; Metazoa; Chordata; Mammalia; Perissodactyla; Equidae
Exons: 6
Source: RefSeq, a predicted model, not a curated record
UUCUAGGUGAUGGAACUAGAAUGGCUGACUCAACGACAAUGUUAUCAAUAAGUGAUCCAGUUCAUAUGGUGCUAAUCAAAACAGACAUAUUUGGUGAGACCACUUUAGUAGCGUCCUAUUUUCUCGAAUGGCGGUCCGUUUUAGGCUCAGAAAAUGGAGUGACCAAUCUUACCGUGGAACUUAUGGGUGUAGGCAUGGCUUGAAAAUUUGUCCUCCAUGUGCUGUGAAAAUGGAAGGGAUAAAUGGGAAUGACUAUAUGAGACAAAGAGUGCACAGAAUCAAAAAUUUCUAUGGCAAUUUUAAAUCUGAAACUUGAGAUGAACCUCUCCUCAAUCAAACGUUGCCUAUAAAAAGUACUAAACACAGAUGCUUUUAAGAUCUUCUCUUUGAUUUUGGUGUCUGUAUUUAACUACAUUAUGUGGUCACCUAACGCUGCUAGAGAACGCUCCCUCCAGCCUCUCCAUGGUUGCUCCUGGUUAGAGUGCAUGUGCAGCCUUCCCUCUUGCCUGAAAGGAUCUGCGUUCUCACUUAGUGUGUGUCCUAGUUUUGUCAUGUGCGAUAGUCCUUUCCUUUUCCCAUAAAACAAAAACAGGACUGAAUGUAGAAGGAGCCAGGAUCACUGAUUAAAUAGGAUGCUAAAGUGCUGGAGGCUAGAACUGGGCUUGCAGGUCCCGCAGGUCAAGGUUGCAACUAUCAGACUUCUCUGCUUGAAACCUGGCUCAAACUGGCAGAAAGAGAACAAAAUGAAAAAUGCUGCUCAUGCCAGCAGAGAAAUCGGUAAGAACUCCCUGACUAAGCUUCAGCCGCAAUAGCCAUUGCACUACUUAGAGAGGCCAUUCUAGUCUCUUAACAUGAGUCAGUGUGCCUAGAUUGGACACUGGUGUUUGAUGAAGUGAUCCUUUGCUGGCACGUGGUGGUGGUAUCAGGUCACAUAUUCCACCUGCCCCCGCUGGCAGGGGCAGGAGCUGUGUUUUCUGAACCUACUGCUUGUGCUGGAAGUUGUGCUGAUAGGGUUCAUCUGCCUUUGCCCACUGGCCGCAACCACUUGGCACAUCACACACACAUGUGCAGGUGCUCUGGUGCUCGUCCGCUGCCUUGGCCAGAUGGGGUGGGAUGGGCGCUUUCUUUCACAUGCUGAUGGGCCCGCUGUGCACUCACAGGUAGUUCUCCUGGUCUGCUGCACUUGGUGGUGGCACCCAUGUAGUAGCUGAGCUGCACCACUCAGUGUGGAGCAUUCCAGCAGGCCAGGCUGCCCCUCCAAAAGCGAAAGUAUUCAUGCUGGCCCGCCUCUUCUUACAGUCAUGUGCCAGAUGCUGCAUGAGGACCCACGACCUAGAUCACUGCCAUUGAGGGGAGAGAGGGGAUCCACUCACCUCCUUCUACUGCUUCCCAGGGCUCCAGUACCCCCACCUUCAGACGUGUGACUGCGUGGAUAUCUCAGUUGUCCUAUUGUGCUUUGAAGGGAGUCCUCUGUUGGUUAAUGAAUGUCCAUUUGGUUGUAACUUAGGAGGGGAAAGACUAAGGGAACAGCUCACUGUAUCAUGAUGCUCUCAGCUCUCCAUUCUUCUGUUGAUCCCAACCAUUCUAAAUGGCUGGUAUGUACCUCUCUCCCCCUGACAAUAGUCUUUAUCUUAUCACCCUGUUUGUUUCUUGCAUGGAACUUAAUGUUUAAAAAUUGUUUACUUAUUGUAUAUCUCCCAAGCUCCCUCCCACCCUAGUCCAGAUUCCUGGCUACCUGAGGGCAAGACCUACAUCUACCUACUGACCCCAGGGCUCGCAGAAUGUCAGCGUUCAAUCAAUAUUUUGAAAGGAAUGAAUGAAUCUAAACUCAUGAUGGAGAACUCAUGGUGGACAGAGAUAACCCUAUGACAUUUCAGGUCAGUGAAAGUUUAUGAGCAAAAGCAGUGUCAGAAAAGCCCAGUGUUUGCGGGGCACUAAAUCUUUAUCACCUGACCAAGACAGAAGAAAAUCUAAUGUCAUCAUGUCACGUAUUCAGAAAUAAGUUUGGAGAAGGUGUAGGUCUUAAACACGAAGCUAGGGGUUUUGGACUUUGUCCUGUAAGCAUUUGUGUCCCAUUGAACUUUUUAGUAAGGGAGUAAAAUGAAUAAGGUUAACCUAGCUCUGGCGGGCAGUGCUAGUUCUUAUGUUAAUUAUACUGUAUCAUAAUUGCUGGAUGCUUCUCUCCUUCCCCACCAGACUGUUAGCUCCUCCAGGGCAGGCACCAUGUCUGAAUCACCAUAUGAGAUCCCAACUCAGAAUAGGGUGGUUGGUACAUAAGAGGCACGCAAUGAAUGUUUGGAAUGGGUGAAUUCAUUAACUAAUAAACUUUGGGGGAGCAAUUAUGCUUCCGCAACUUAAAUCUGCCUUCUCUGAUCUACCCUUUUCUUUGGAGGUAUCAGAAUGGAGGUCAAAGUAAGCAACUAAGCACAAAAUGAGCAACUAAGCACACAGUGGUGAUAGUGUUGCUGAAGUCCCUCCCACAGCAGCUGCGUGGUAGACAUGGUCUUGUCUCUUGACUCAGAGUAACCUCGUGAGGGAAGUCUGUGAGAGGGUUACCAACAGAUGUGCCGCCUGACUCUGAUAUUGCCAUGCACUAUAAUGAUUAAUACAUAACAGAAAACAUUUUCUUGCCAAAGCUUAGUUGACUCAAUUUUAAUAUUCUUUUAGACAGAUCUCCUUACUUAUAGUGACAUGGUAUAAAUAUAAGAAGAAAGAAUGUCAAAUAUCACUUCGUAUAAUAACAGUGUUACUGUUCAUGCACAUAAAUUACAUUUACCUAUUUAAAAGCAAGCAAAGUGCUCAGUUUUGCAAUUUAACACUUUUAAAUAUGCCACAUUUUAAAAUUACGUCAUUACAACUGGUAGAAGUUAGUAAUCACCACUAAAAUGUGUUUUCUUGAAUUAUUGAUGAACUACUUAUAGUAAAAUUCUUUAAAAAAAUCAUUUGAAAGGGCAAAAUUUAAAGGCACCUUUGUUAUAUUUAUUUUCACACGUUCCAGACUCAUCCGACAUCCUUUGAAUACCUCUUAUGUGGCAAAUAUCACGAAAACUUCUAUAGUUCCACUGUCCGAAAUGGCAGCUCCUAGUCAGGCGUGGCAAUUUAAACUUAGGCUUUAGUUAAUUAAAAUUAGCUAAAAUUUUCAGUUCCUCAGUCUCACUAGUCACAUUUCAAGUGCUCCAUAGCCACUGUGGCUAGCAGCUGCUGUAUUGAACAGAGCAGAAUAGAACGUUUCCAUCAUGACAGAAAGUUCUAUUGGACAGCAUUGCUCCAAAGAGAAGAAGUAAAUAUGACCCAUCAUGAGCACCACAGUCAUAGCAUCAAGAGCUACUGACGCAUGUCUGGGAUUUAUUUUUAGAGUAGGUAUCUUUGCCCACAUUGAUGAAAAUGCUUUAAAGUGUCCUCGUUCUCAGUAAACAAUAAUUCUGUUCAGUGCUAAAUCAAACUAUGGCCACUGAAGAAGAGAUGUGGCCUUACCCUUAUCAGGUUCUUACCUGUUUGAACUAGUUGUAUAUUUUGUUUUAAGCCAACUGUAGUGUAGUUUUCCAAAAUGACAUUUUGAAAGCAAACAACUUCAAGGUAUUAGCUUAAACCUGAGCUCAUCCUUUAUGUUCUAAUCUACUGGCUUUCAGUUCCUCUGUCUAUAAAAGGAAUAACUCGUAACAGUUAUGAGUUCCUGUGCCCCUUCACUGGACCCAGGAAUUGAAGAGUCUAAGUGAGUAGGAGAGCUUAUCCUAAAGUGUCUGACAGUGCAUACAUCAGAGGGUUUAUUGGAUAAAGAUGCAAUCUUGGUCCAUCUGCUCCAGACAUUUUAUCACAUUCUUAUUC